UGAUUGACUAUUUACCAGUGAGUUGAGCCCAGCGCAGCUCAUCGACUCAUGAGGACACUACACUUCGGAAGAAUUGCCGUGGAUGAUCAUAAAGUGCAAUGGACCAUUCUGUCGAGAGAGCAAUUUGGCAGCGGCGACGGCGCGGAAAGCACGUCGGAUAACCUCUGCUUUGUUUUACAGGUCAUAUAAACUGAACAGCAGGAAUGUUUGUCCAACUGUUAACCAUUGUGUUAUUUGCGCGUCUGGCAAGUGGCCAUUAUCAGACAUCUGUAUUCACAAAAUCAUUCACAGUUCAGAAUGUGCAG
Long non-coding RNA from Dermacentor silvarum, 305 nucleotides. RefSeq lists it as uncharacterized. NCBI's taxonomy places the organism in Eukaryota, Metazoa, Arthropoda, Arachnida, Ixodida, Ixodidae. The transcript is spliced from 3 exons. The record is from RefSeq and is a predicted model, not a curated record.